This 651-nucleotide ribosomal RNA is filed under the name uncultured Gammaproteobacteria bacterium. RNAcentral describes it as "bacterial SSU rRNA". It matches the Rfam family "Bacterial small subunit ribosomal RNA", at positions 19 to 667 of the family's 1533-position model. The record is from RNAcentral. Lineage: Bacteria; Pseudomonadati; Pseudomonadota; Gammaproteobacteria.
CUGGCUCAGAUUGAACGCUGGCGGAAUGCUUUACACAUGCAAGUCGAGCGGCAGCGCGGGGCAACCUGGCGGCGAGCGGCGAACGGGUGAGUAACACAUCAGAACGUACCCUGUUGUGGGGGAUAGCCCGGCGAAAGCCGGAUUAAUACCGCAUAAGACCUGAGGGUGAAAGCGGGGGACCGCAAGGCCUCGCGCGACAGGAGCGGCCGAUGGCGGAUUAGCUAGUUGGUGGGGUAAAGGCUCACCAAGGCGACGAUCCGUAGCUGGUCUGAGAGGAUGAUCAGCCACACUGGAACUGAGACACGGUCCAGACUCCUACGGGAGGCAGCAGUGGGGAAUUUUGGACAAUGGGGGCAACCCUGAUCCAGCCAUUCCGCGUGAGUGAAGAAGGCCUUCGGGUUGUAAAGCUCUUUCGGCAGGAACGAAACGGUGGGCUCUAACAUAGUCUGCUAAUGACGGUACCUGAAGAAGAAGCACCGGCUAACUACGUGCCAGCAGCCGCGGUAAUACGUACGGUGCGAGCGUUAAUCGGAAUUACUGGGCGUAAAGCGUGCGCAGGCGGUUUCGUAAGACAGAUGUGAAAUCCCCGGGCUUAACCUGGGAACUGCGUAUGUGACUGCGAGACUGGAGUGUGGCAGACGGGGGUGGAAU